AAGCACUGAAUCUAGAUGACAUAAUAAAUUUAAUUUGUUUUGUUCAUUAAUACGUGGAUGCAAAAUUACUCUUCUUCGACCAAUAUCAAUUAGUUUUUUUUUUUUUUUUGGUAAAUUAUGUUACUAUAACGAAGAGUCUUCUUGGUAUUAAGCACCAACUAUUUUUUUAACUACUGAGUUUCAAAUAUAUAUAGAAACAACUAUCAUGGUUCGCUUUGUUAAAAAGAGAAAGAAAACAUACGUACAGUAUAUCGAAACAACGAAAGCUUGAUUCGUUUUCCCUUGUCA
This 288-nucleotide long non-coding RNA is filed under the name Capsella rubella. RNAcentral's name for it is "long non-coding RNA (CRUB_LNC004550)". Lineage: Eukaryota; Viridiplantae; Streptophyta; Magnoliopsida; Brassicales; Brassicaceae. The record is from RNAcentral.